RNAcentral lists this ribosomal RNA (724 nucleotides) under uncultured bacterium. RNAcentral describes it as "bacterial SSU rRNA". It matches the Rfam family "Bacterial small subunit ribosomal RNA", at positions 358 to 1085 of the family's 1533-position model. The record is from RNAcentral.
GGAAUAUUGGUCAAUGGACGAGAGUCUGAACCAGCCAAGUAGCGUGAAGGAUGACUGCCCUAUGGGUUGUAAACUUCUUUUAUAUGGGAAUAAAGUGAGCCACGUGUGGCUUUUUGUAUGUACCAUACGAAUAAGGAUCGGCUAACUCCGUGCCAGCAGCCGCGGUAAUACGGAGGAUCCGAGCGUUAUCCGGAUUUAUUGGGUUUAAAGGGAGCGUAGGCGGACUAUUAAGUCAGCUGUGAAAGUUUGCGGCUCAACCGUAAAAUUGCAGUUGAUACUGGUCGUCUUGAGUGCAGUAGAGGUAGGCGGAAUUCGUGGUGUAGCGGUGAAAUGCUUAGAUAUCACGAAGAACUCCGAUUGCGAAGGCAGCUUACUGGACUGUAACUGACGCUGAUGCUCGAAAGUGUGGGUAUCAAACAGGAUUAGAUACCCUGGUAGUCCACACAGUAAACGAUGAAUACUCGCUGUUUGCGAUAUACAGCAAGCGGCCAAGCGAAAGCAUUAAGUAUUCCACCUGGGGAGUACGCCGGCAACGGUGAAACUCAAAGGAAUUGACGGGGGCCCGCACAAGCGGAGGAACAUGUGGUUUAAUUCGAUGAUACGCGAGGAACCUUACCCGGGCUUAAAUUGCAUCUGAAUAAUUUGGAAACAGAUUAGCCGUAAGGCAGAUGUGAAGGUGCUGCAUGGUUGUCGUCAGCUCGUGCCGUGAGGUGUCGGCUUAAGU